This 253-nucleotide ribosomal RNA is filed under the name uncultured bacterium. Its description in RNAcentral is "partial 16S ribosomal RNA". It matches the Rfam family "Bacterial small subunit ribosomal RNA", at positions 524 to 776 of the family's 1533-position model. The record is from RNAcentral.
GACGAAGGGGGCUAGCGUUGUUCGGAAUUACUGGGCGUAAAGCGCGUGUAGGCGGUUGCCCAAGUCGGGUGUGAAAGCCUUGAGCUCAACUCAAGAAAUGCACUCGGUACUGGGUGACUAGAGGACCGGAGAGGAUAGUGGAAUUCCCAGUGUAGUGGUGAAAUACGUAGAGAUUGGGAAGAACACCAGUGGCGAAGGCGGCUAUCUGGUCCAGCACUGACGCUGAGGUGCGAAAGCGUGGGGAGCAAACAGG